Molecule: non-coding RNA, 526 nt
Organism: Alligator mississippiensis (American alligator)
Lineage: Eukaryota; Metazoa; Chordata; Crocodylia; Alligatoridae
Source: the annotation of a RefSeq genome assembly
CCAAACUGACGGGUUGCACCUGCUACAGACUUUCCCUUGUUGGAUGGGAACAGCCAUGGGAUCCUUCCUGCUCUGCCUGUGUCUUCUCAGUGCCCUCCCAGGUGUCCUGUCUGAGGACCAGUUGGUCCAGUCUGGCCCAGGAGUGGUGAAGCCUGGAGAGACCCUCAGCCUGACAUGUGCUGUCUCUGGGAUCUCCAUUACUAAGCAGCAUCACAGGUGGCACUGGACCCGGCAGCCUCCCGGGAAAGGCCUGGAGUGGGUAGGGUAUGUGUAUCCCUAUGGUGGAGACACAGGCUACGCCACUGCUCUGACAAGCCGGACCACCAUCUCUGCAGACACCUCCAAGAACCAGUUCUCCCUGCAGCUGCGUUCCCUGACAGCCGCAGACACCGCCACGUAUUACUGUGCGUGUGUGUGCCCCGCUCACCUUGGUGGAGGAGUCCAGAAGCCUGGAGAGACCCUCCGCCUGACCUGCACCGCGCCUGGGCUCUCACUCACUACUUGUGCUGUGAGCUGGUUUCCCUGA